Phascolarctos cinereus (koala) is the source of this 618-nucleotide long non-coding RNA. RefSeq lists it as uncharacterized. NCBI's taxonomy places the organism in Eukaryota, Metazoa, Chordata, Mammalia, Diprotodontia, Phascolarctidae. The record is from RefSeq and is a predicted model, not a curated record.
CCGAAUAUUCAUGUAUUAUUGUAGCUGGCUUCUCAGAUCCUUUCUGUGGAAUGGGACACAGGAGAGAGAAACCUGGAAUCGGCACAGUACCUGGCUCACAAAUAAGGAGUUCCCUGAGACAGGAGACAAGCCCAAGACCCAGAGACAGUGUUCCUGCCUUCUUCUGGUCUUAGCCAGCUUUGAACUGUGGUAACUACCGAGCGGGGGAGGGAGGCACUUCAGCUCCUACAAGAAGUUUCGCUUCAGCCUCAAUGCCAGUUCUAGCUCCAGCUACAAACCGCACCUCAGAUCCAAUCUUCCACAUGUUUUUCUCUGAUCCCAACAGGCAUAUGGCUGGCUAUGUGACAUGGGUCAGCAUCAAGUUUCCUGUAGUUACACAGAGGCCCAAUGAGUUAGAGGGUAUGCCAGAUGUUUGUGCUUAGUUCAGGGGAGGGGAACUAACCUAUCCCUGCUGAACACAUUCCAAGAAAACACAGGCCUGGACUGUACCAUGAAGAGCUUAGGUUAGAGGGGAGAAGCUACAGGCAGAUUUGGAAUCAGAAGCCCUGGGUUUGAAUCCUGACUCUGUUAUCACCAUGAAGUGUAGGUAGAGCUGGUAAAGAAAAACCUUUGAGAUUA